CACGUAGGGGCGAGCGUUGUCCGGAAUUACUGGGCGUAAAGGGCGCGCAGGCUGUUAUGCGAGUCUGCUGUGAAAUGUACCGGCUCAACCGGUGCCUUGCGGCGGAUACUGCAUAGCUGGAGUACUGGAGAGGGAAGUGGAAUUCCCGGUGUAGCGGUGAAAUGCGUAGAGAUAUGGAGGAACACCAGUGGCGAAGGCGGCUUCCUGGUCUGUAACUGACACUGAGGCGCGAAAGCAUGGGUAGCAAACAGGAUUAGA
Molecule: ribosomal RNA, 258 nt
Filed under: uncultured prokaryote
Description: partial 16S ribosomal RNA
Rfam family: Bacterial small subunit ribosomal RNA
Source: RNAcentral